AUUGAACGCUGGCGGCAUGCCUAACACAUGCAAGUCGAACGAGACCUUCGGGUCUAGUGGCGCACGGGUGCGUAACACGUGGGAAUUUGCCUCGGGGUAUGGAAUAACUCAGGGAAACUUGAGCUAAUACCGUAUGAUGUCUUCGGACCAAAGAUUUAUCGCCCUGAGAUAAGCCCGCGUAGGAUUAGCUAGUUGGUGAGGUAAGAGCUCACCAAGGCGACGAUCCUUAGCUGGUCUGAGAGGAUGAUCAGCCACACUGGGACUGAGACACGGCCCAGACUCCUACGGGAGGCAGCAGUGGGGAAUAUUGGACAAUGGGCGAAAGCCUGAUCCAGCAAUGCCGCGUGAGUGAUGAAGGCCUUCGGUU
Molecule: ribosomal RNA, 367 nt
Filed under: uncultured bacterium
Lineage: Bacteria
Description: bacterial SSU rRNA
Rfam family: Bacterial small subunit ribosomal RNA
Source: RNAcentral